UACAGAGGUCCCAAGCGUUGUUCGGAUUCACUGGGCGUAAAGGGUGCGUAGGUGGUGAGGUAAGUCGGAUGUGAAAUCUCGGAGCUCAACUCCGAAAUGGCAUUGGAAACUACCUCGCUAGAGGAUCGGAGGGGAGACUGGAAUUCUCGGUGUAGCAGUGAAAUGCGUAGAUAUCGAGAGGAACACCUGCGGCGAAGGCGGGUUGCUGGGCCGACACUGACGCUGAUGCGCGAAAGCCAGGGGAGCGAACGGG
This 253-nucleotide ribosomal RNA is filed under the name uncultured bacterium. RNAcentral describes it as "partial 16S ribosomal RNA". It matches the Rfam family "Bacterial small subunit ribosomal RNA", at positions 524 to 776 of the family's 1533-position model. The record is from RNAcentral.